GGUCUUACCAUGCAAGUCGAACGAUGAUGCCCAGCUUGCUGGGCGGAUUAGUGGCGAACGGGUGAGUAAUACGUGAGUAACCUGCCCUUGACUCUGGGAUAAGCCUGGGAAACUGGGUCUAAUACUGGAUACUACCUCUUGCCGCAUGGUGGGUGGUGGAAAGGGUUUUACUGGUUUUGGAUGGGCUCACGGCCUAUCAGCUUGUUGGUGGGGUAAUGGCUCACCAAGGCGACGACGGGUAGCCGGCCUGAGAGGGUGACCGGCCACACUGGGACUGAGACACGGCCCAGACUCCUACGGGAGGCAGCAGUGGGGAAUAUUGCACAAUGGGCGGAAGCCUGAUGCAGCGACGCCGCGUGAGGGAUGACGGCCUUCGGGUUGUAAACCUCUUUCAGUAGGGAAGAAGCGAGAGUGACGGUACCUGCAGAAGAAGCGCCGGCUAACUACGUGCCAGCAGCCGCGGUAAUACGUAGGGCGCAAGCGUUGUCCGGAAUUAUUGGGCGUAAAGAGCUCGUAGGCGGUUUGUCGCGUCUGCUGUGAAAGCCCGGGGCUCAACCCCGGGUCUGCAGUGGGUACGGGCAGACUAGAGUGCAGUAGGGGAGACUGGAAUUCCUGGUGUAGCGGUGAAAUGCGCAGAUAUCAGGAGGAACACCGAUGGCGAAGGCAGGUCUCUGGGCUGUUACUGACGCUGAGGAGCGAAAGCAUGGGGAGCGAACAGGAUUAGAUACCCUGGUAGUCCAUGCCGUAAACGUUGGGCACUAGGUGUGGGGGACAUUCCACGUUUUCCGCGCCGUAGCUAACGCAUUAAGUGCCCCGCCUGGGGAGUACGGGCCGCAAGGCUAAAACUCAAAGGAAUUGACGGGGGCCCGCACAAGCGGCGGAGCAUGCGGAUUAAUUCGAUGCAACGCGAAGAACCUUACCAAGGCUUGACAUUCACCGGACUACCCCAGAGAUGGGGUUUCCCUUCGGGGCUGGUGGACAGGUGGUGCAUGGUUGUCGUCAGCUCGUGUCGUGAGAUGUUGGGUUAAGUCCCGCAACGAGCGCAACCCUCGUUCUAUGUUGCCAGCACGUGAUGGUGGGGACUCAUAGGAGACUGCCGGGGUCAACUCGGAGGAAGGUGGGGAUGACGUCAAAUCAUCAUGCCCCUUAUGUCUUGGGCUUCACGCAUGCUACAAUGGCCGGUACAAAGGGUUGCGAUACUGUGAGGUGGAGCUAAUCCCAAAAAGCCGGUCUCAGUUCGGAUUGAGGUCUGCAACUCGACCUCAUGAAGUCGGAGUCGCUAGUAAUCGCAGAUCAGCAACGCUGCGGUGAAUACGUUCCCGGGCCUUGUACACACCGCCCGUCAAGUCACGAAAGUUGGUAACACCCGAAGCCGGUGGCCUAACCCCUUGUGGGAGGGAGCCGUCGAAGGUGACG
RNAcentral lists this ribosomal RNA (1416 nucleotides) under Kocuria sp. RNAcentral's name for it is "bacterial SSU rRNA". It matches the Rfam family "Bacterial small subunit ribosomal RNA". Lineage: Bacteria; Bacillati; Actinomycetota; Actinomycetes; Micrococcales; Micrococcaceae. The record is from RNAcentral.